GGACGGAAGCUAGCGACACGAGGGAGGCCGCGAAUAAUUCGACUACGAAGUGCCUUUUUUUCCAUCACAGACGGGAGAGAAUGAGAGAAGUAGAUUCGUAGAGGGAGAGAGAGGGGGAGAGAGAGAGAGAGAGAGAGAGAGAGAUUAUAUAUAGUCGUCUCCGCCGUAUCAGAGCCGCAGCCACCCCACCAUCGCCCCAUUCUCUCUUUCUCUCUUGGCCGUGAAAAUUAUUUUGAUUAUUAUUAUUAGGAAUUAUUAUUAUUAUCCUAUCAUUUUGUUUCCACCCCGGAACCUAUACAUACGUAUCUGAACGCGUAUACGUCGUCUGUUAUCUCGUUGCCAACAGCAAGAGGAUUGAACAUUGAUCUUUGAGUGUUCGUUAUUUCGGGGAAUCUAUAGGAUUUUUGCUUUUUUAAUUGUUAGGCUUUUUGUUGAAACCCUAGCUGAGAGAGAGAGAGAGAUAGGGGAGAGAUGGCGCAGAAUGGGCAGGGAAUAGAGCCUGCUCUUUUGGAUGAUAUAAUCACUCGGUUGUUGGAGUUCAGGAACGCCAGGACUGUGCGGCAGGUUCAGCUCUCCGAGAAUGAGAUCCGCUCUCUCUGUAACGCUUCCCGAGAAAUCUUCCUGCAGCAGCCCAAUCUCUUGGAGCUCGAAGCUCCCAUCAAGAUCUGCGGUGACAUUCACGGGCAAUAUAGUGAUCUUCUGAGGCUUUUUGAAUAUGGAGGAUUCCCCCCUGAGGCCAAUUAUUUGUUCUUAGGGGACUAUGUUGACCGUGGAAAACAGAGUUUGGAAACAAUAUGCCUUCUACUUGCAUACAAAAUAAAGUAUCCUGAAAACUUCUUCCUUUUGAGAGGGAAUCAUGAAUGUGCUUCAAUCAACAGGAUAUAUGGGUUCUAUGAUGAAUGUAAGCGUCGGUUUAAUGUGAGAUUAUGGAAAACUUUCACUGAGUGCUUCAAUUGUCUUCCAGUAGCUGCUCUCAUUGAUGAUAAAAUACUGUGCAUGCAUGGUGGUCUUUCUCCAGAUUUAACACAUUUAGAUCAAAUUAGGACCUUACCUCGCCCAACUGAUGUUCCAGACUCUGGUCUGCUCUGUGAUUUACUCUGGUCAGAUCCUAGUAGAGAGAUUAAAGGUUGGGGAAUGAAUGAUAGGGGUGUUUCAUACACUUUUGGUCCGGAUAAGGUGGCAGAAUUCUUGAUGCAGCAUGAUAUGGACCUUGUUUGCCGUGCACACCAGGUUGUGGAAGAUGGAUAUGAAUUUUUUGCUGAAAGGCAGCUUGUAACAAUAUUUUCUGCUCCGAACUACUGUGGUGAAUUUGAUAAUGCUGGUGCAGUGAUGAGUGUUGAUGAAAGUCUCAUGUGCUCCUUCCAGAUUCUAAGGCCAACAGAUAGAAGGCCUAGGUUCAUAUGAAAUGCAACUUGAUUGGUGCUAGCUUAUUCUUCUAACAGCACCAAAGGCAAUCAGAUAUUCAAGAUACUGUGUCAGUUACUCCACCAUUCUAAAUAUUGAUGUUUAAGUUCCCUAGUAAAGAGAGAAGAUGGGGAAGAAUUUAACAGAAUUGAUUUUAUGCAGAUAUAACCUAUUUUGGGGAAGGACAGGGUGAGGAUGCUGGUUUUCAGUAAUGCACAAGCAAUGGUUCUGUUGUUGAUUCGGGGCGGGGGACUAAGGAUUUUGUUUCUGUUUGGGGUGGAUAUUUCUAUUACUUUUUAACUGUAGUUUGGAGGCAAUUGUUCUCCGGUUAACAACCUCAAGUGACUGCCUUAAGGGCAAGAAUUUUUUUUUUUUUUCUUUUAAUCUUCAUUUGAAUGUUAUUGGCAACUUAUGAUUUGACUUGACUGUGUAAAUACAUUUGGUUUUGUAAAUUGCGUUACUCUAGUCUAGUUUCCUUUUUCU
Ipomoea nil (Japanese morning glory) is the source of this 1887-nucleotide RNA transcript. It is a transcript of the gene named serine/threonine-protein phosphatase PP1 isozyme 2, with no coding region annotated. The transcript has 5 exons. Lineage: Eukaryota; Viridiplantae; Streptophyta; Magnoliopsida; Solanales; Convolvulaceae. The record is from RefSeq and is a predicted model, not a curated record.